This is a non-coding RNA of Schistosoma haematobium, 45 nucleotides long. NCBI's taxonomy places the organism in Eukaryota, Metazoa, Platyhelminthes, Trematoda, Strigeidida, Schistosomatidae. The record is from Rfam.
AUCCAAUUGACGAGUCCCAAAUAGGACGAAACGUGCAUCCUGGAU